Molecule: ribosomal RNA, 482 nt
Filed under: uncultured bacterium
Lineage: Bacteria
Description: partial 16S ribosomal RNA
Rfam family: Bacterial small subunit ribosomal RNA
Source: RNAcentral
AUUGAACGCUGGCGGCAUGCUUUACACAUGCAAGUCGAACGGUAACAGGCCGCAAGGUGCUGACGAGUGGCGAACGGGUGAGUAAUGCAUCGGAACGUGCCCAGUCGUGGGGGAUAACUACUCGAAAGAGUAGCUAAUACCGCAUACGAUCUAUGGAUGAAAGCGGGGGACCGUAAGGCCUCGCGCGAUUGGAGCGGCCGAUGUCAGAUUAGGUAGUUGGUGGGGUAAAGGCUCACCAAGCCAACGAUCUGUAGCUGGUCUGAGAGGACGACCAGCCACACUGGGACUGAGACACGGCCCAGACUCCUACGGGAGGCAGCAGUGGGGAAUUUUGGACGAUGGGCGCAAGCCUGAUCCAGCAAUGCCGCGUGCAGGAAGAAGGCCUUCGGGUUGUAAACUGCUUUUGUACGGAACGAAACGGCUCUGGUUAAUACCCGGGGCUAAUGACGGUACCGUAAGAAUAAGCACCGGCUAACUACGUG